Molecule: ribosomal RNA, 300 nt
Filed under: uncultured Flavobacterium sp.
Lineage: Bacteria; Pseudomonadati; Bacteroidota; Flavobacteriia; Flavobacteriales; Flavobacteriaceae
Description: bacterial SSU rRNA
Rfam family: Bacterial small subunit ribosomal RNA
Source: RNAcentral
GCUAACUCCGUGCCAGCAGCCGCGGUAAUACGGAGGAUCCGAGCGUUAUCCGGAAUCAUUGGGUUUAAAGGGUCCGUAGGCGGGUAGAUAAGUCAGUGGUGAAAUCCGGCAGCUCAACUGUCGCACUGCCAUUGAUACUGUUUAUCUUGAAUUACUGUGAAGUGGUUAGAAUAUGUAGUGUAGCGGUGAAAUGCUUAGAUAUUACAUGGAAUACCAAUUGCGAAGGCAGAUCACUAACAGUAUAUUGACGCUGAGGGACGAAAGCGUGGGGAGCGAACAGGAUUAGAUACCCGGGUAGUC